UGCUGGUGAACAACCGUUUGCAGUAUAUAUCUUCCUCCUUGCAUGGAAUCAGCACACGCUCUAACCACUUGGCACCAACAGCAGGUUGUCACUCUGAUGUUCCUUUUUUUGCUUGAACAAUGAUAACGUUGAGGUUGCUAGUAAUGGACGAUUUUUUUCUGCUCCAGUGUCGAACUCGGCAACUUCGACUUAGAACAUAAGCUUCGUGAUGCGCAGGAAAUCAGAUGGAACUCAAAAUUGAGCCCAUCCGCCUUGGAUUCUAUGCGGGUGCAUGUUG
Molecule: long non-coding RNA, 277 nt
Filed under: Setaria italica (foxtail millet)
Lineage: Eukaryota; Viridiplantae; Streptophyta; Magnoliopsida; Poales; Poaceae
Description: long non-coding RNA (SITA_LNC002994)
Source: RNAcentral